Molecule: ribosomal RNA, 255 nt
Filed under: Salmonella enterica subsp. enterica serovar Bareilly
Lineage: Bacteria; Pseudomonadati; Pseudomonadota; Gammaproteobacteria; Enterobacterales; Enterobacteriaceae
Description: partial 16S ribosomal RNA
Rfam family: Bacterial small subunit ribosomal RNA
Source: RNAcentral
UCCAGACUCCUACGGGAGGCAGCAGUGGGGAAUAUUGCACAAUGGGCGCAAGCCUGAUGCAGCCAUGCCGCGUGUAUGAAGAAGGCCUUAGGGUUGUAAAGUACUUUCAGCGGGGAGGAAGGUGUUGCGGUUAAUAACCGCAGCAAUUGACGUUACCCGCAGAAGAAGCACCGGCUAACUCCGUGCCAGCAGCCGCGGUAAUACGGAGGGUGCAAGCGUUAAUCGGAAUUACUGGGCGUAAAGCGCACGCAGGCG